ACGGAGGGUGCAAGCGUAGUUCGGAAUUACUGGGCGUAAAGGACGCGUAGGUGGUUGUGUAAGUCAGAUGUGAAAUCCUUAGGCUUAACCUGAGAACUGCAUCUGAUACUGCAUGACUCGUGUACAGCAGAGGGAAACGGAAUUCCUGGUGUGGAGUUUAAAUUCGUAGGUAUCAGGAGGAACGCCGAUGGCGAAGGCGGUUUAAUGGGCUGGUACCGACACUGAGGCGCGAGAGCGUGGGGAGCUAACAG
Molecule: ribosomal RNA, 251 nt
Filed under: uncultured prokaryote
Description: partial 16S rRNA
Rfam family: Bacterial small subunit ribosomal RNA
Source: RNAcentral